Molecule: long non-coding RNA, 623 nt
Organism: Triticum dicoccoides
Lineage: Eukaryota; Viridiplantae; Streptophyta; Magnoliopsida; Poales; Poaceae
Exons: 4
Source: RefSeq, a predicted model, not a curated record
CCGCCCAAGGCCCGCUCCGCCCUCACCGCUACCCGCAACGCCGCUGCCGGAGGUCCGGCCGGCGAAGCCGCGCCGCGCCCAGGGAUGGCGCGGCGGGGCGGUUCUGUCUCCCUACCUCCUGCCAGAGCCCACACCCCACCAUACGUAGAUCUGGCCGGGAGCCCCUCCACCACCAUCCCCGCCCCUCCCGUGCGGCCUUCCUCGUCUCUGGUGAUGAAGUUCGUCCUCGGAUCCGUGACGACGGCGCCUCGGUGACUCCCCCACGCAUGCGGCUUGGCCGGCCCAGAUCCGAUCUGGCGACCCCCCCCCCUUCUGACUGGCUGCUGCGUCCUCCGGCCCGGCGUGCCCGCCUCCUCCCUUGGCAGCGGGGACUUGGUCUUGCUCCUCCCCUGGCCGCAUCCUCCCUCGGCAGCACUCUCUCUUCAUGUUGCAUUCUUGCUGGUGGUGGUCCUUGAGUUUGGGUGUGACUGGCCAUUAAGCUUGGUGGCUCAUAAUAUUUGCUCCAUGGAAACCAAGCAUACCACGGGAGGAUUCAAAGAAUUUCUAUUGGGAAAUCAAAGGGGGCAAUAACUUCAAUUGGGAGAAGUCGCUAGAAAAGAAGGAGACCUCUACCUGGUAACCAC